UAAUACGGAGGGUGCGAGCGUUAAUCGGAAUUACUGGGCGUAAAGCGUGCGUAGGUGGUUGAUUAAGUUAUCUGUGAAAUCCCUGGGCUUAACCUGGGCAGGUCAGAUGAUACUGAUUAACUCGAGUAUGGGAGAGGGUAGUGGAAUUUCCGGUGUAGCGGUGAAAUGCGUAGAGAUCGGAAGGAACACCAGUGGCGAAGGCGGCUACCUGGCCUAAUACUGACACUGAGGCACGAAAGCGUGGGGAGCAAACAGGAUUAGAUACCCUGGUAGUCCACGCCGUAAACGAUGUCAACUAGCUGUUGGAUAUAUGAAUAUAUUUAGUGGCGCAGCAAACGCGAUAAGUUGACCGCCUGGGGAGUACGGUCGCAAGAUUA
RNAcentral lists this ribosomal RNA (377 nucleotides) under uncultured bacterium. Its description in RNAcentral is "bacterial SSU rRNA". It matches the Rfam family "Bacterial small subunit ribosomal RNA", at positions 521 to 896 of the family's 1533-position model. The record is from RNAcentral.